CUUUGAAGGGCACAUGUGAUAAGAAAGCAGUUUGGUGGAGACUGGGCUUGAAUGAUGGCUAUGUAGCUUAUUCACUGGACUGAUAACAUUUCAAAUAUAAUACAUGGAUUGUUACUUAUUGGUAACCUUGAAUCUGUUCAGCUCUUUAGCCCAUGAAGAAAGCGUAAGGCAGAAAGAAUGUUUGCCUGUUUUGAACAGAUAGCCUCUAAAUGUAGUGCCACCGACACAAACCAGCUCAACCCUAGAGACCCCAAUCCCUGCUGGCUGAGGAGCUGUUUCAGAAAGGAAUAGCCACCAAAUCUCAUUGUAUAGUCACCCACAUAUUUUGAUCUCUGUUGUUUCCAAGGUU
RNAcentral lists this long non-coding RNA (349 nucleotides) under Bos taurus (domestic cattle). RNAcentral describes it as "long non-coding RNA NONBTAT023947". Lineage: Eukaryota; Metazoa; Chordata; Mammalia; Artiodactyla; Bovidae. The record is from RNAcentral.